Molecule: ribosomal RNA, 415 nt
Filed under: Enterobacter sp. 8(2012)
Lineage: Bacteria; Pseudomonadati; Pseudomonadota; Gammaproteobacteria; Enterobacterales; Enterobacteriaceae
Description: bacterial SSU rRNA
Rfam family: Bacterial small subunit ribosomal RNA
Source: RNAcentral
CUUCUUGAUCCAGAGACUUUCCAGAGAUGCUUUGGUGCCUUCGGGAACUCUGAGACAGGUGCUGCAUGGCUGUCGUCAGCUCGUGUUGUGAAAUGUUGGGUUAAGUCCCGCAACGAGCGCAACCCUUAUCCUUUGUUGCCAGCGGUUCGGCCGGGAACUCAAAGGAGACUGCCAGUGAUAAACUGGAGGAAGGUGGGGAUGACGUCAAGUCAUCAUGGCCCUUACGAGUAGGGCUACACACGUGCUACAAUGGCGCAUACAAAGAGAAGCGACCUCGCGAGAGCAAGCGGACCUCAUAAAGUGCGUCGUAGUCCGGAUUGGAGUCUGCAACUCGACUCCAUGAAGUCGGAAUCGCUAGUAAUCGUAGAUCAGAAUGCUACGGUGAAUACGUUCCCGGGUCUUGGUACACACCGAA